Molecule: long non-coding RNA, 642 nt
Organism: Aegilops tauschii subsp. strangulata
Lineage: Eukaryota; Viridiplantae; Streptophyta; Magnoliopsida; Poales; Poaceae
Source: RefSeq, a predicted model, not a curated record
CAACCAAACACCCCCUUAGUCCUCACUUCACGAUUCACAGGAACCAGUCGGCACCCUGAUUCACUCCCGUUCCUCUUUUUCUCUCCCACUACGAACCCUAGCCGCCGCGUGCCGCGCGCCGCCCACCGCUGUGGCCCGAUGCCCCGUGACGACUGACGACUGCGGCACCGAGGCGCGCCGCACGCCCUGACCAAUGAAGAGCGGCGCCCACAGCGGCAACCCUGACCGGUGAAGACCGGCGCCCGAGCGGCAGUCCUGACUGGUGAAGACCGGCGCCCCGCGUCGACAACCUCGACCCCCCGUCGGUCGCUCCACUUCCCGCGACGGGGCCGUCCGCCGCCGGUGCUCCACCUCCUGACGGCCGGUUCAACAGAUGUUUCCUAUACCGGAAUCUAAAUAUGAUGAGGAGUUGAAUGAGAAAGAUGCCGAAGCAAAAGGUGCCUAAGGUGCCAAUCUAGAAGCUGCUCAAGAUGACAAGCCAAAAGAACAGAAGCAAAUGACGUCAUGAAUCUUGUUGUUGGACCAUGAAUUACGAAUCUUCUUACUUUGUGUCAUAUGAAUCUUGUUACUUGUUGUCAAGUAUAAACAUGUAUUGGUAUUUUGUUGUUGUCAAAUAUAAACAUGUAUUGGUACUGAAAGUAA